This 244-nucleotide long non-coding RNA is filed under the name Mytilus galloprovincialis (Mediterranean mussel). Lineage: Eukaryota; Metazoa; Mollusca; Bivalvia; Mytilida; Mytilidae. The record is from RNAcentral.
CCUUUGGGUCAGUGGGCAUGACUCCUUUCCGUACACAUUCCUUUGUUUAAAUUGCGAUCGGUUUUAAUAUAAUACGACGUCUAUCGACAGAACGAGUUAAUUUUUCUCGACGUAUCGUCGUUUGACGAAAGUUACUUACGGAAGGGAGACAACUCGAAGCGUUAAUAUGGAAGACUCCAUUUUGGCUGAAGGGGUGUUCUAGUUACACAUUUACGUUGUGGACUACAUUUAUUUUAAUUUAAAU